UAGUUACUAUCUAAGUAUUAAAUCAAGUUGAUCAAAGAUAUUGUCAGUUUUACCGAGAGCUGUGUGCGGUAAAUAGAGAAUGUAUACAGUAGGUUUAUUUAUGGUGCUAUUGGUCGCUACUUCUGUAAUAGGGAGGCCUCACCAUCACAUAUGCAACAAGGACUUUUUACACAAGAUAAAUAGAAUGGACAAUGAUGAUUUUGUGAAGGCAAAAUACAUAAAGGCAAUCGUCGGCUGUAUUUUGCGACAUAAAGACAUCAUCAACAAUUUGAGAAACAUAAGGUAAAUUUUUUUGUGAUCUAUUCCGAAGUUCAGUCAGUGCUACCGCAAAAAUGUGCCACUUUGCAAGGAAAGUAGAUCAAAGAAAAGAUUAAAAGGAAUAUAGCAGAACGAACAGGUGUCUGUGGACAGAAAAAGGUCUCCAGACCGCAUCGUUGAUAUAAAUCCUUUGAUUGUUUGUGCGAUGUUUGGUGCAUCUGUGAUAAUGAUUAUCCAAUCAAAACUGUCUUUCAUGCUUCUGACCCUGUGACGUAAUCUGAACGAAAUGUGUCCUUAUUUGUAUGAAAGUGAGUAAGUGCAAUCGGAUUUCUUAGUUUUGAACGGAUCGGACUCCUGCUGUUACUUUUUGCUUUUGACUGUAGUGUCCGUGGGUUCGUGCUGCUUGAUCCCUUUAGGUUUCGUCAUUGUCCUGGUAUUAUAUCAGAAGACAAGUGCCCUCACCAGGGGGCGUAUCUACAUAUACACUGAUGUGACUCAUUAUCUAUGUUACAUCUUAUCUUAUGGUGCUCUAAUGUGUUCAGAGAUAUAAGUCUAUUGAAUUGUGAGGAUGAUUCUGAAAAGAACCUAAACGUUAUUUAAAUUUAAA
Molecule: long non-coding RNA, 865 nt
Organism: Saccostrea cuccullata (small rock oyster)
Lineage: Eukaryota; Metazoa; Mollusca; Bivalvia; Ostreida; Ostreidae
Exons: 3
Source: RefSeq, a predicted model, not a curated record